CCCUUAUCGACAGAAGUGUAAGUAAAAGUUAUGUGUCAUUGUUAUACACAAUUAUGUGUUAGUGUUAUACACAGUUAUUUAUCAUUUUCUAUUAAUUCAGUUGUAGCCACUACAAUAUCUAUGACACUGGUAGUAAUUAUAAGAACAAUAAUGAUGUUCUAUAAGAGGAAAUGAUGAUUAGGAACAAAAACUUACAGGAGAUAUCAUGCGGUGGAUGGAUAAUAUGUAAAAAAUAUUAAGCAGUAUAUGAAUUUUCAUAUUGCAUAGAGAUAACAAAAUGAAUUUUAAAAAAUGUCGACACGGUAAUAAGAAAUAGCAUCGUGACAAAGAAUAUAUAAAGACAGUUUCAUUUUUUAUAAAUAAAAAUUUGUUGUUCCAGAUUUUGAAAUACAGUGAAACGUUUAAUUAGUAUCUUAAUAUCUUUAAAUAAUUAUUAUUUUAGAAUCAAUUGUAAUUGUAUCAUACGUACUUUUGAAUUCGUGCAAGAACAUAUGUAAUUUUGAAGUAGUUAUUAUUAGGAAACUGUUAGACGCGAACAGUAUGCGAAAAGUUAGUAUGCAGUGUAAUAAUUAUCAAUCAAAACACAAGAAUUAAAUUCUUGAGGAAAAAAUUUCCGGAAUUUCUUAUUUACAUGAUUAUAAAGAAAUCCAUAAUAAAAAGGAGCUGCUUUCUAA
Bombus huntii is the source of this 674-nucleotide long non-coding RNA. RefSeq lists it as uncharacterized. The record is from RefSeq and is a predicted model, not a curated record. Lineage: Eukaryota; Metazoa; Arthropoda; Insecta; Hymenoptera; Apidae. The transcript has 2 exons.